AUUGAACGCUGGCGGCAUGCUUUACACAUGCAAGUCGAACGGUAACAGGCCGCAAGGUGCUGACGAGUGGCGGACGGGCGGGUAAGGCAUCGGAACGUGCCCAGUCGUGGGGGAUAACUACUCGAAAGAGUAGCUAAUACCGCAUACGAUCUAUGGAUGAAAGCGGGGGACCGUAAGGCCUCGCGCGGUUGGAGCGGCCGAUGUCGGAUUAGGUAGUUGGUGGGGUAAAGGCUCACCAAGCCAACGAUCUGUACCUGGUCUGAGAGGACGACCAGCCACACUGGAACUGGGACAGCGACAAGAGGCCUAAGGGAGGGCGCAGUGGGGAAUUGUGGGCAAUGGGCGCAAGCCUGAUCCAGCAAGGCCGCGUGCAGGAAGAAGGCCUUCGGGUUGUAAACUGCGUUUGUACGGAACGAAACGGCUCUGGUUAAUACGCGGGGUUAAUGACGGUACCGGAAGAAGAAGCACCGGCUAACUACGUG
This 482-nucleotide ribosomal RNA is filed under the name uncultured bacterium. RNAcentral describes it as "partial 16S ribosomal RNA". It matches the Rfam family "Bacterial small subunit ribosomal RNA", at positions 29 to 507 of the family's 1533-position model. The record is from RNAcentral.